CCUACGGGAGGCAGCAGUGAGGAAUUUUGGUCAAUGGCCGGAAGGCUGAACCAGCCAUGCCGCGUGAAGGUCAGUGCCCUAUGGGCGUUAAACUUCUUUUGUGCGGGAGCAAUAAUGGUCACGUGUGGCCAGACGAGAGUACCGUACGAAUAAGCAUCGGCUAACUCCGUGCCAGCAGCCGCGGUAAUACGGGGGAUGCAAGCGUUAUCCGGAUUUAUUGGGUUUAAAGGGUGCGUAGGCUGUGAGGUAAGUCAGCGGUGAAAUGCCCCCGCUCAACGGGGUGAAGUGCCAUUGAUACUGCCUGGCUGGAAUGCGGAUGCCGUGGGAGGAAUGUGUGGUGUAGCGGUGAAAUGCAUAGAUAUCACACAGAACACCGAUUGCGAAGGCAUCUCACGAAUCCGCGAUUGACGCUGAUGCACGAAAGCGUGGGUAUCAAACAGGAUUAGAUACCCUGGUAGUC
This 460-nucleotide ribosomal RNA is filed under the name uncultured bacterium. RNAcentral describes it as "partial 16S ribosomal RNA". It matches the Rfam family "Bacterial small subunit ribosomal RNA", at positions 338 to 795 of the family's 1533-position model. The record is from RNAcentral.